RNAcentral lists this long non-coding RNA (7884 nucleotides) under Toxoplasma gondii VEG. The record is from RNAcentral. Lineage: Eukaryota; Apicomplexa; Conoidasida; Eucoccidiorida; Sarcocystidae.
GGAAAGGCAGUGCCGUGCGAAAGGAGAGUUGGCAGCGCACUGACUUGUCGGUCAAUGGACAUCGCUUCUCCAUACAUGCUGUUUCUUUCAGUCGGCGGCGAGAGUAUCUGUUUGCGUCCUUUGCUCGGUGCCUCGGUACGAAGGGUCUCUCGGUCUUCUUCUUUGCUUCGUUCUCCACGCGCCUUCGAUUCGUCAGGCUCUGGGUCGAGGCCAUGCGCGCGGCGCUGAGUUGGCGAGGCCGAGUUCGAGGUGGAAUCUUGCAAGAGAGCCUCUGUGUUGCCACUCUGCAACACAGCAGGGCCUCGCUGCGUUUCGCGGUCGCUGACCUCCGUCAAGGCCGACAUCGCUUCCGGAGCGUCUCGGUGAGUUGAAAAGAGAGGAGAGCCAUUUUCAUUGACGCCGCCAACUGUCUCUUGAGGUGUGCAUCGGAGCGCGUUUCUCUGCUUCGCUUCGGUGAAGGCGUUCGAGCUUGCAAGGCGUUCGUGACCAUGUGAGCAAUUGCUCGUUGGGAGGAUUACUGGAUGCGCGUCGCGCUCGAAGUUCCACUCACAGGGUGCUCCUUCGCUUCCUUCGACUCCGACGGCUUCCCCCGCUUCAUGUGGCGCGCUCAAAGAAUCUCCGCUACCUCUUCCAGGGUCGGCCUCCCAGUCUGUCUGGGCGACGGGGACAAGGCGGGGAAAGAAGAAAGAAGGCGUUUGCCCGGAGGCGCCGCGCGCCGCUUCCUGUUCUCUCCUAAGCGUCGCGACGGCGUUCGAGUGGGGAUUGAACGUCGGUCCCCGAAGACAUCGCGCAUCAGUGUUGAACUUGUAAUCCCCGGCGUCGGCAGAAUCGAAAGCGGAGUGGAACCUGCAAGUCUGUCUGUCUCCUCCAGCGAGGCAUUCGUCUCUCGCGAGUUCGACACACGGCGCCGGGUCCUUUGCACAUGGCGCGUCCUGCCAAGAGUGGACUGCAGGUGGGCGAAGUGGAAGCCGAGAAGAAGCAGCCGCAGCAGCCUCCUGCCAGUGGUCCGAAGAGUCGCGCGCAUCUGGAGUUCUUCCGCACAAGUCGCGAAGCUCCUCGAGGUUCCCUGUGUACGCAAGGCUCUCAAAGAAGCCGUUCGCAUUCGGCGUCCAGGAAGCGAUGCCGCUUCCGUAGGCUUCCGCGGGAUGAGGGAACGUGUGAGGCCACCCUGUCGGGUCGGCGCGCGAGUCGAAGGCCAGCGGGCAGGGCCGAUUCGCCUCGAAGGCCAGGCCUGAGUUGUAGCUGGCGUAAACGUUCGGAAGGCCAGACUCGCCAGGGCGGGAGGGAGGGACGAAGCGCGUGUUACUUUCGAGAGACUUCAAAUAUGGCAGGCCGGCGAACAUCGAGAAAUCAGUCGACCUUCCUCGACUUACCGACGCGCUUCGUCCACUAUCUGUUAAGUCGUGGUUGUGACUUCCGAGGCGAGACCCGUCAGACGACAGUGAAGCUGCAGGGGAAAACGAAGAACUCGCUGGCGUCGGUGCAACUUCGGAUGACGGGGAGUCCUCGCAGAUGCUCCUUGCUUCUUCGGUGUCGUUCCUGUGUCGACGCGGACGACUCUGCCGCAAGUCGGCUUCCCGGCUUGAGCUUUUUCGUCUCUUCUUGAACGAAACGGGGAACGGGGGGGAUGAAGGCCCCAGAGCGGGCGUUUGCGACAAACAGCUCUCUGCUCCAGAUUUCGCGUUCUUCUUGCCAAAACCUGUUUCGAGACCCUCUCUGCGUGCUACUCGAUUCCGACGCACGACCGUGUCUUUCGCGUCUCUCAGGUCGACUUCCGCGACGACGCAGCGCCCUUCGCUCUGCUGCCUCUUCUCCCUUUUCUGUCCGCGUUCCGCUUCACCCGCGUUUUCCCUGUCGCUCUUUCGGCAUCGCCUUCUCUCUCCCCAGCCAUGUCCCGGAUCUUCUCCCUCGUCUUCUCCCUCGUCUUCUCUGCCGUCUUCUCCCCCGUCUUCUGUCUUGUCUUCUCCGCCGUCUUCUGUCUUGUCUUCUCUGCCGUCCUCUGUCUUGUCUUCGGUUACGUCUUCUUGUUCCCUGAGUGUCGCGGUCUUCCGCCUCCGGCGAGGCCUGCCUUUCUCUGGGCUCUGUCCACGGGGAAAGGCGCCCGAGUCUCCGGCGUCGGUGCCCUCGAGUCUGCGCUGGGGGCCUUCUCGGACUUCGUCGGCGGCGCUCUUUACGCGCGUUCGCCAGAGGGACUUUUCAGUCUGGAUGGUUGAGGCGGCUUCCAAGAGCGUGGGAUCGUCUCCGCACUGCUGGCCUCUGCAGAUUUUUCUCCACGGACUGCCGCAAAUGAAGGCCAGGAGCACCAUGGCGUCGUCGCAAGUCCCGCUGUCCAGCGCCUUCAGGGUGUAGAGUGGCUCGUUCUCGGAACAUGUGGGGUGGCUGAACUCGAAGGCGCGGUCGUCCCCCGGUCGCUGCGGAACUUGCCUGGAGUUGAAGGCCUCUGUGGCGCCUUGGUCGUAGUCCUCAGGCUCCUGCGUUCGCCCUUGCUUAUUCCAGCAGAACAUCAUGACGGCGGCGUGGUACCGGGCCUCCAAAAAACCGAGCUCGGCGACUGCGAACUUCUUCCGCUGCACGAUUUUCCCCAUCGGUUUCCGAUGGUUCGCCACCCAGCAGCGACUCGCGCGGUGGUAUGUGACUCCGACCACGAACGGCAGCGCGUCGGCUGCCUGCUGUAACUCAUCGUCCGUUGCCCGCUCCACAUUUGCCAGGGCCUCGCGUCUCUCUGAGUUGUCCAGUUCCGGAUUCAAAAGAGCCUCGCGGCGAUGUCUGAUGGCUUGCUCGCGCGCGCCGAAAAACCCAAACUUCUGGAAGGAAAAAAUCCGCGUUAUUCGACGCUUGCCGACCAGCCAAGACGCUACCCACGUCUUCCGCAGCCUGUCCAUGUGCACCCCCUUCACAGGCUCCAGACGCGAAGCGAGAAGCUCGAGCAAAAAGUCUUUGUGGCCGCGGUCGGUCUGAGCCGGCAGCGAUCCCGGCGCCCGCCGCUUCCUCCCCGACGCCUUCGCCGCGGCCGGAACUUCGAACGGCAGAGACGCGGGAGAGAAAGUCCACGCGGCCCCCCGGGAGCGGUUCGAGUUGGGCGACUGCGCGUGAGGAGAUCGAGUCCGUCCUCGCAGUCGCCGCGACUCCAGCGAAGGACUCCAUGCAGAACCUUCCGCGUCUCCGCUGCCUGGAACUUCCUCCAAGUGUGCUCCCGUCUGAAGGCUUCCCCCUGGGUACAGCGCCGGAGUCCCCAGAGAGAAGAAGGAGUAGGGAAACGAGUCCGACGAACCUGUCUUCUCCGACUCUGAGAAGUGAACUUGGGGAUCUGCUGAAUACAGGCUGUUUUCCUCGCUCCUCUGGGGAGUCUCAUACAUGCCCGAGCCGCCGUAGAACGGGCAGUAGGCAGCGCCGUUGUACGCUGUGUUGUCGCCUACGAGACGGUCCUUGGAGGCUGCAGUGUAGGAAACGCUAUUGUAGGAGGGAGUCGAAUACGGGAUGUUCUCGUAGGGUGCAGGGUACGGAGACUGGAGCUCUUGUCGACGGCCCUCUUCGACGCUGUAAGGCUGAGGGAGUCCCGAAACGCCCAGCUCUCCGGACUCGUUCAGCUGCUGCCAAAGUUGCGUCUCGUACUCGUUGUCCCUGUUGUCGCCUUCGCACGAAAAGGCCCCGAGAAGGCUGUAAGAGGCGGCGAGGAAGUUCGGCGUUCCGCGGUUCUCGGCAACCUCGACCUGGGGUCGAAGGACUUCAUCGGAGCCGCCAAAGUUCCCCUCAUACUGCAGCGGUGACUGGUCGCGAGUGGAGGCGCCCUGACAUGGCAGGCGGAGUCUCGGCGAGUCCUCGGGGAGGUUCUGGACAGCCGCCGGCAAGGGGACCGACGCGGGGUCGGACGCGAAGUCCGACGGGAUUCGCGGCAGACUGGGGAGAGCAGGCAGACUCCAGCAAUCCAGAGGCGAAGACCCGCGAAGCAGGGCAGCCGGCGGGGGACACCGGAGUACAGAUGGCGGCCCUGGACAGGAUUGGGAGAGGAAACGCGCUUGGGGAAGUAAGAUGUCAGGAUAUGACGCGGAGACACAGCCGAUGCCGGGAAACACAGGCGGCGGAGGCAGAGGCGGAAAACAGGCCGAGUAGAAGUUCGCAAAAUGCACAGGUUGCAUCGGGGGCAAAGGCGGCUGAUAAGGCGAGUCUUGACUUAACGGAGCCUGCAAACCAUACCGGCUUCCGUCCUCGCCAGUGAGGCAUGUGUGCCCUUCGACGUUUGUGGUGCCCCGCCAGCCUCCCGUACUCUCGCAGGUAUCCCCGUUUCCUGGCGUUCCCCAGGCAUCCCCGUUUCCUGACGUUCCCCAAGAGUUUCCGUUUCCCCCGAAAGGAAGCCCACCACCGUGGUCCGGGACACUGGACGAAGCGCGUCCGUUGAGAUGUUGAGGCCCAAAGUCGGAGGUCUCCCAGUGGCCAACUGCAGCGUCAGAAACCGGCGCGGGUGUAGUCCACUCUUGCUGUGCGUCAGCAGUGUUUAGGGUCCCUGUGGAGAUGUUGUCCGGCGCAGUGAAGCCUUGACAACUUGUGGAGUUCGUGCGAUGCACACAGUAGUCAUCAGGUCCGUUGUUCCCGUAAGUGCCACCGUAGAGGAACGCUUGAGGCGGCUGAGUUAGGUCGAAGAUCGACGAAGCCGUACCAAAGCUGUUGUAGAACGCACCCGGAUAACCGUAGAGGGAAGCAUGCGCAUGCAUAGCGGGGUCACAGGAGGCGAAGACCGCUCCGGUAUGACUUUCAAGAUCCGCGACAUGCUGGCUGUGCGGCUGCCCACUUGUAGACGUGGGCAACAGCUCUCCGGCCAGCUGUCCGCAGAAACCUCCCUCGCUUCCGUGUUCUGUUCUGCGAGAUGAAAAACGUUCGACGCGAGGGAACUGUAGGCCCUGUGCGUCUCCCUGAGAGGCCUCACUGUUACCUCCCCAGGCCUCGAAACCUCCAAAAUGCACAGGUCGCAUCGAGGGCAAAGGCGGCUGGAAAGGCGAGUCUUGACUUAACGGACCCUGCAGCCCAUACCGGCUUCCGUCCUCGCCAGUGAGGCAUGUGUGCGCUUCGACGUUUGUGGCACCCCGCCAGCCUCCCGUACUCUCGCAGGUAUCCCCGUUUCCUGGCGUUCCCCAGGUGCACGCAGCUUCUGAGUCCGCCUGUACAUCAGGUGGAGAAGGACAUGCGACUGCCGAUGAAGUGAAGGAUCCAGAACGAAGGGGGAAUUGGCUGUCGUCUUCAUGGCCCUUCGUAACGUUGUCGGCAGCUGCGUCUGCUUGCCGAUACAGGAGAUUCGGAGCAAGGCGAGCUGCACUGGUUUCCUUCUGGGUACAGGCCCGAUCUUCUUGCGACGAGGGAGCAGCCCACUCUGUGUCGGGGGUGAGCAUUGGAUUCGGCUUGCGGAGCCAAGGACCUGAGGCAGGAAGAACGCCUGCUUCACUCAGUCCGUAGUCGCAGAGCCGUGGCGCAUCUGCGCCAGCCACAGGAGCCGAUUCAGACACAGCAGCGGUGCCUCCGGGGAAUUCAGGCUCUACAAGCUUGUCGUUCCCUCGAGGUUGCUCUGGAUCGAUCUGAAGAUCUAGAGGCUUCUUGGCGACUCCAGGAGACGACGCCAGACAUGCCACAGGCCAAGCCACAGGCGAAGAGAGAUCCGCGUGCUCGCGCGUGUCUCCAACUGUCUCUUCGCUGGCGGCAGGGCUCACGCAUGCGGCGACUUCCGACCUGCGCCCAACGGCUUGUGGUGCGUCCAGAGACGAAACUCCUGCACAGGAAAGUGGGGAAGUCGAGGCGCGACAAAGAUCAGGUGAACAGGCAGAAGGCAUCGUCGGCGGAGAUGCCGCCAGAACAACCGGCACAGUAAACGGCAGCGGCGAAGCGGUUCGCGACGCACCGGAAGCCGCCGGUGCAACAGUGGCUUCAGCGGGACCUGGGAAACCACAACGCGAGGCUGCACGCAUCGACAGAGCGUUGUCAAGUGCAUGCCCUAAGUCCGUUCGUUUGGAGGUGAAAGGCGUUGGUGAAUGCGCCAUCGGCAGCCCAUUGUUUGGGUCACUCCGCUUACCGAAGCUUCUCCGUUCCGCCGACUCGGACGGCGACCUCUGGACGGAUGUGUCAGUUGAGUGGGUCGAAAGAACCUUCUUCUCGUCGGCUUCGAUGGUCUCUCUGCUCGUGUCGCCUUUUCGACUUUGCCCUGCCGCCUCCAAACGCUGGAGAAAGGUUCUGCUUUCCGACAGGUCUGCAUGCGACUCUUCGGGGUCCCUCCGCGCCAGGCAAGAAGGUAGACGCGGCGUCUUGGGGCUUCUGAAACUCGAGAGGGAAGCGGUGGAGAGGCGAUCGUAUUCUUGGCGCCUUCGUUUCGUAUCCACAUCUAGCGGGAGGUUUCCCAGAGACGAGAUGCAGGCUGAGGCGGACGCGUCUUCCUCCCGCAGUCUUUUCCUUGAUGUCGAAAGGUGGAGCAGCGGCGGAAGGUGAAAGCGCUGCCGGAAGCAGAGGACGUCGUCUUGCUCGGCUGAACAAGACGAGGAACCUGUUGGGGAGGUCGAGUCUGAAGACGCACCGGGCGGACUGCACAUUUCGCGUCUCGGCUGCUGUUCAGAUGCACUCCGAGAGGCAGGAGAAAUAGGACUUGACGAUGUGCUUGCGUCGGCCGACACUGCGUGUACCUCUGGAGACGGACCUCGAGCGCGGUGUGAAGUGAACGCUUGAGAUGAAGGUAGACAGGAAGAAAAGCAACCUUUCGAGGGAAACGGCGGUGACAAGAGGGUAGGUUGAGUCCUUAGAGGCGAAAAACUAGGUAGGCGGUCUUGACCUUUUUGAGGAGACAGACACCCGUGAGGACUUCCCCGCAAGCAGAGGGGCUGUCGGGAGCCGCGAGAUGUUCCGACGGAAGCGCGCGUUUCCAUUUCUCGACAUGAAUGAGGCCUCGCAAACAGCGGCGACUUUGGGUGCGCAUUUCCCGGAGGCGACGCGAAACGAGACGGAGCGUAGUCGCUCAUGUUGACGUACGUUGCGUGUCGAAGAACGAACGAGUUCUUUCGACGAUGCGAGGGUGGUGGUGGAACGUGGACAAAAACGUCGAGCGCGGGUUGUCACAAGGGAUAGGCGGAUUUCGUUUGUUUCAGUUUUUCCUGGCUUUUGCUUUUUGACGCGACACGCAAAGACGCAAACAACUACGUGCGAGUAGCCAGGAAGUGCUCAGCACGAUACCUGUCUCUAGGAGUGUACACGUCAAGUCGGUAAAAGUGACAAGGGAAAAAGCAAACAAUCAAGUACAACGUCAAGACCACGCCCACGGCGUGGUCGUCUAUAUUGUCGGGUGCAAGACAAGGCAUUAAAAGAGAUGCGUCCUGCUACGGACUUUAGUUUUGCAUGAAGAAAGUGGAAAAAAUCAACGCCCGUUCAACGGGGAUGCAGCCAGAAGCGUCAUGUUGCAAAGUUUCGAGAGUCCACGUACAAGGAAAAACUCCAGAGAAGGCGCCGAGAGCUGAAUCAGGGUAGUGCUCAACCGGCUGAGUGGGAAGAACUCACGAGUUCUAGGUAGGUGACUUUGACCACAGAGAUAAGCGAUGAACUGACUACAAAGGUCUAGCCCUUCAAGGUGACCUUUGGCAAAAUACAAAUGACGGAGUCGAGAACUAUUUCAGAAAGGAAGACGUGCUUUCUGGAGCUUGCGCAACCCGCGAGCCAAGUUGCAAAAAGUCCAAGAAACGCAACGCGGGUAGUUGCAGGGCUGAAACGCUGCAAGUGCCUGCAAAAGAGGAGUCCGAAAAUUCAGAUAUCCGUGAGGGCCUGUUGUCAAGCGAACGAGAAGCCAACAGUGAGUUGCGCAAAAAGCCGAUCUGGGUUUUGCGUCUGUUUCUGCACAUCUGGAAAAAACUCGGCCGAUUCUAG